Molecule: ribosomal RNA, 776 nt
Filed under: Pseudomonas taiwanensis
Lineage: Bacteria; Pseudomonadati; Pseudomonadota; Gammaproteobacteria; Pseudomonadales; Pseudomonadaceae
Description: bacterial SSU rRNA
Rfam family: Bacterial small subunit ribosomal RNA
Source: RNAcentral
CCUUCGGGCCUUGCGCUAUCAGAUGAGCCUAGGUCGGAUUAGCUAGUUGGUGAGGUAAUGGCUCACCAAGGCGACGAUCCGUAACUGGUCUGAGAGGAUGAUCAGUCACACUGGAACUGAGACACGGUCCAGACUCCUACGGGAGGCAGCAGUGGGGAAUAUUGGACAAUGGGCGAAAGCCUGAUCCAGCCAUGCCGCGUGUGUGAAGAAGGUCUUCGGAUUGUAAAGCACUUUAAGUUGGGAGGAAGGGCAGUAAGAUAAUACCUUGCUGUUUUGACGUUACCGACAGAAUAAGCACCGGCUAACUCUGUGCCAGCAGCCGCGGUAAUACAGAGGGUGCAAGCGUUAAUCGGAAUUACUGGGCGUAAAGCGCGCGUAGGUGGUUUGUUAAGUUGGAUGUGAAAGCCCCGGGCUCAACCUGGGAACUGCAUCCAAAACUGGCAAGCUAGAGUACGGUAGAGGGUGGUGGAAUUUCCUGUGUAGCGGUGAAAUGCGUAGAUAUAGGAAGGAACACCAGUGGCGAAGGCGACCACCUGGACUGAUACUGACACUGAGGUGCGAAAGCGUGGGGAGCAAACAGGAUUAGAUACCCUGGUAGUCCACGCCGUAAACGAUGUCAACUAGCCGUUGGAAUCCUUGAGAUUUUAGUGGCGCAGCUAACGCAUUAAGUUGACCGCCUGGGGAGUACGGCCGCAAGGUUAAAACUCAAAUGAAUUGACGGGGGCCCGCACAAGCGGUGGAGCAUGUGGUUAAUUCGAAGCACGCGAAGACCUUAC